UGCGGGUGGCGGAGGGAGAGCAGCACGUCGAGCUCCCGGCGGAACGCGCGGCGGAGGCGCUCGCUGCUGCAGUGCACCUUGACGGCGCCGAGCCGCGAGGAGGAGAGCGAGGCGAGGUACACCGUGCUGAAGCCGCCGCGGCCGACCACCCUGGACGAGAAGCCGCCCGUGGCGGUCUCCACCUCCGCCCACGCCAGCUGCCGCGCGGCGCCGCCGUCCUCCGCCUCGUCCACGCACACGGGCUCGGCCGGCGCCACCCGCGAGCUCGCGCCGCCUUGCUCCCCGCGCUUCCUGAGGUCGCCGCCGCGCCCCCGGCGGGCGCCGGCGAACAGGC
RNAcentral lists this unclassified non-coding RNA (334 nucleotides) under Zea mays. Its description in RNAcentral is "misc RNA Zm00001eb075280". The record is from RNAcentral. Lineage: Eukaryota; Viridiplantae; Streptophyta; Magnoliopsida; Poales; Poaceae.